CUUACACAUGCAAGUCGAACGGCAGCACGGGAGCAAUCCUGGUGGCGAGUGGCGAACGGGUGAGUAAUAUAUCGGAACGUGCCCAGUCGUGGGGGAUAACGUAGCGAAAGCUACGCUAAUACCGCAUACGAUCUACGGAUGAAAGCGGGGGAUCGCAAGACCUCGCGCGAUUGGAGCGGCUGAUAUCAGAUUAGCUAGUUGGUGAGGUAAAGGCUCACCAAGGCAACGAUCUGUAGCGGGUCUGAGAGGAUGAUCCGCCACACUGGAACUGAGACACGGUCCAGACUCCUACGGGAGGCAGCAGUGGGGAAUUUUGGACAAUGGGCGAAAGCCUGAUCCAGCAAUGCCGCGUGCAGGAAGAAGGCCUUCGGGUUGUAAACUGCUUUUGUACGGAACGAAAAGGCCUGCCCUAAUACGGCGGGCUCAUGACGGUACCGUAAGAAUAAGCACCGGCUAACUACGUGCCAGCAGCCGCGGUAAUACGUAGGGUGCGAGCGUUAAUCGGAAUUACUGGGCGUAAAGCGUGCGCAGGCGGUUUUGUAAGACAGGCGUGAAAUCCCCGGGCUCAACCUGGGAACUGCAUUUGUGACUGCAAAGCUGGAGUGCGGCAGAGGGGGAUGGAAUUCCGCGUGUAGCAGUGAAAUGCGUACAUAUGCGGAGGAACACCGAUGGCGAAGGCAAUCCCCUGGGCCUGCACUGACGCUCAUGCACGAAAGCGUGGGGAGCAAACAGGAUUAGAUACCCUGGUAGUCCAAUC
Molecule: ribosomal RNA, 757 nt
Filed under: uncultured bacterium
Lineage: Bacteria
Description: bacterial SSU rRNA
Rfam family: Bacterial small subunit ribosomal RNA
Source: RNAcentral